This 459-nucleotide ribosomal RNA is filed under the name uncultured bacterium. Its description in RNAcentral is "SSU rRNA". It matches the Rfam family "Bacterial small subunit ribosomal RNA", at positions 26 to 518 of the family's 1533-position model. The record is from RNAcentral.
AGAAUCAACGCUGGCGGCGUGCCUAACACAUGCAAGUCGAACGAGAAAGUGGAGCAAUCCAUGAGUAAAGUGGCGCACGGGUGAGUAACACGUGACUAACCUACCUUUUAGUGGGGGGAUAACCUAGGGAAACCUGGGCUAAUACCGCAUAAUACCUACGGGUCAAAGCAGCAAUGCGCUGAAAGAGGGGGUCGCGGCCGAUUAGCUAGUUGGCGGGGUAAUGGCCCACCAAGGCAGUGAUCGGUAUCCGGCCUGAGAGGGCGCACGGACACACUGGAACUGAAACACGGUCCAGACUCCUACGGGAGGCAGCAGUGGGAAUUUUGCGCAAUGGGGGAAACCCUGACGCAGCAACGCCGCGUGGAGGAUGAAGUCCCUUGGGACGUAAACUCCUUUCGAUCGGGACGAUAAUGACGGUACCGGAAGAAGAAGCCCGGCUAACUUCGCGCCAGCAGCCGC